CUUGCCUGAAGAUACACGUGAAAUAUUUCGUUGCCAGAUUGAAUUAAGUCAUUGGAAACAACAAGUACCGCAAAAUAGUGAAAAUAUGUCGAUGCGAAUUUUUCUUUUAUGUUUUGUUUUUGGAAUGGCAUACAGCUUUCGCCUCGUGACUGUAGAGAAAGCAUCGGGACCUUGCGUGAGAACACGCAAAAAAUGUUGAAACUGGUGAUGGAGGGCAACCUAGAUGUCCACGUUCCUGUGUGCACACCAAAUGGUUACUUUAAACCAGGAUUUCGCUGCACCUGGUUUGCAUGUUACUGCUACGAUAAAUAUGGAAAAAUUAACUUUAAUGUUGAUAUAAUCAGCUGUCGUCGCUCAUAUAAUGUCUAAGACAUUGACUGCUUUGUAAUGUACAUAUGUACGUGCUAUAUAAAGAUUAAGACGUAGCCAUCUUAUAUAACAAAAGACGAUCGACGCCAUAUUAAUGUAUAUAACGGAAACACGGGUGAAAAUAAAACAUGUCGAUGAUGAACUUCAAACAAUAAACAGCUAUACGUA
Xenia sp. Carnegie-2017 is the source of this 537-nucleotide long non-coding RNA. RefSeq lists it as uncharacterized. The transcript has 2 exons. The record is from RefSeq and is a predicted model, not a curated record. Lineage: Eukaryota; Metazoa; Cnidaria; Anthozoa; Malacalcyonacea; Xeniidae.